This 377-nucleotide ribosomal RNA is filed under the name uncultured bacterium. RNAcentral's name for it is "bacterial SSU rRNA". It matches the Rfam family "Bacterial small subunit ribosomal RNA", at positions 521 to 896 of the family's 1533-position model. The record is from RNAcentral.
UAAUACGUAGGUGGCGAGCGUUGUCCGGAUUUACUGGGCGUAAAGAGCGCGCAGGCGGCCAAGUCAGUCGAAUGUGAAAGCCCCCGGCUUAACUGGGGAGGGUCAUUCGAUACUGCUCGGCUCGAAGACAGGAGAGGGAAGCGGAAUUCCCGGUGUAGUGGUGAAAUGCGUAGAUAUCGGGAGGAACACCAGUGGCGAAGGCGGCUUUCUGGCCUGUUCUUGACGCUGAGGCGCGAAAGCUAGGGGAGCAAACGGGAUUAGAUACCCCGGUAGUCCUAGCCGUAAACGAUGGAUACUAGGUGUUGGUGGUAUCAACCCCGCCAGUGCCGUAGCUAACGCAUUAAGUAUCCCGCCUGGGGAGUACGGCCGCAAGGCUA